This 468-nucleotide ribosomal RNA is filed under the name uncultured bacterium. Its description in RNAcentral is "partial 16S ribosomal RNA". It matches the Rfam family "Bacterial small subunit ribosomal RNA", at positions 28 to 507 of the family's 1533-position model. The record is from RNAcentral.
GACGAACGCUGGCGGCGUGCUUAACACAUGCAAGUCGAACGGAAAGGCCCUGCUUUUGUGGGGUGCUCGAGUGGCGAACGGGUGAGUAACACGUGAGUAACCUGCCCUUGACUUUGGGAUAACUUCAGGAAACUGGGGCUAAUACCGGAUAGGAGCUCCUGCUGCAUGGUGGGGGUUGGAAAGUUUCGGCGGUUGGGGAUGGACUCGCGGCUUAUCAGCUUGUUGGUGGGGUAGUGGCUUACCAAGGCUUUGACGGGUAGCCGGCCUGAGAGGGUGACCGGCCACAUUGGGCCUGGGUUACGGCCCAGACUGCUACGGGAGGCAGCAGUGGGGAAUAUUGCACAAUGGGCGGAAUCCUGAUGCAGCAACGCCGCGUGCGGGAUGACGGCCUUCGGGUUGUAAACCGCUUUCGCCUGUGACGAAGCGUGAGUGACGGUAAUGGGUAAAGAAGCACCGGCUAACUACGUG